UACGUAGGCAGCAAGCGUUGUUCGGAGUUACUGGGCGUAAAGAGUGCGUAGGCGGUCUGGCAAGUUCGGUGUGAAAUCUCCCGGCUUAACUGGGAGGGUGCGCCGAAGACUGUUGGGCUGGAGUGUGGGAGAGGCAAGCGGAAUUCCUGGUGUAGCGGUGAAAUGCGUAGAUAUCAGGAGGAACACCGGCGGUGUAGGCGGCUUGCUGGACCAUAACUGACGCUGAGGCACGAAAGCGUGGGGAGCAAAC
This 250-nucleotide ribosomal RNA is filed under the name uncultured bacterium. RNAcentral's name for it is "partial 16S ribosomal RNA". It matches the Rfam family "Bacterial small subunit ribosomal RNA", at positions 524 to 773 of the family's 1533-position model. The record is from RNAcentral.